Molecule: ribosomal RNA, 397 nt
Filed under: uncultured bacterium
Lineage: Bacteria
Description: partial 16S ribosomal RNA
Rfam family: Bacterial small subunit ribosomal RNA
Source: RNAcentral
AUACGUAGGGGGCGAGCGUUGUCCGGAAUGAUUGGGCGUAAAGGGCGCGUAGGCGGCCCGGUAAGUCUGGAGUGAAAGUCCUGUUUUUAAGAUGGGAAUUGCUUUGGAUACUGUCGGGCUUGAGUGCAGGAGAGGUAAGUGGAAUUCCCAGUGUAGCGGUGAGCUGCGUAGAGAUUGGGAGGAACACCAGUGGCGAAGGCGACUUACUGGACUGUAACUGACGCUGAGGCGCGAAAGUGUGGGGAGCAAACAGGAUUAGAUACCCUGGUAGUCCACACUGUAAACGAUGAAUGCUAGGUGUAGGGGGUAUCGACCCCUUCUGUGCCGCAGUCAACACAAUAAGCAUUCCGCCUGGGGAGUACGGCCGCAAGGUUGAAACUCAAAGGAAUUGGCGGGG